CAAGCGAGCGCCCAUAUUUACAAACCAACUAUGUGAAUGGAGAAAUAGGAAUUCGCAUUCUAGGCUACGUUUAUGACCGGGCGGAUUCGCGUCGCGCGAUGCGAUGAAAAUCGCUCUAUCGCUACCAGCGGUUUCGCCAUCGUAAUCGCUAGCGAUUGAGUGUUUACAGUACAGCGAAAUCAGAAGCGAUUGAAAAUUUAUAACGUCAAAUCCGUUCGUAGUUUCUUUUACUUUUCAUUAAAAACAAACAUGUGUGCACGUGUUCGUAAAAUUUUGCUUACAGAAAGUAGUCUUUUAGUGCGUCAGCAGAUUUUAAGAUUUUGUAAACAGAAAAGAUUCCAAGUGCAUCCAAUUUGCAAAGAACGCAAAAGCCAUGGAGAGUUCCAUCAUUUACACACCCGCCUUCUACAAUAUCCUGAGAAAUUUAUGGAGUAUUACCGAAUGAGAAUUGACACGUUGAAUUAUAUCUUGAAUAAUCUAUUCAAACAUAUAGAAAAAAAUACUAUACUCAGAAAACACCAAUUGAUGCUGUAGAAAGGCUCGCAUUGACCAAAAGGUGUAGGCUGCAUCAAUUUUAUGGAUUCAGGAGUUUCCGAUUUAUCUUCAUCAUUAAGUUCCACCAAUUCAUCACAA
This 633-nucleotide unclassified non-coding RNA is filed under the name Bactrocera tryoni. RNAcentral describes it as "putative nuclease HARBI1, transcript variant X1". The record is from RNAcentral. Lineage: Eukaryota; Metazoa; Arthropoda; Insecta; Diptera; Tephritidae.